RNAcentral lists this ribosomal RNA (253 nucleotides) under uncultured bacterium. RNAcentral's name for it is "partial 16S ribosomal RNA". It matches the Rfam family "Bacterial small subunit ribosomal RNA", at positions 524 to 776 of the family's 1533-position model. The record is from RNAcentral.
UACGUAGGAUGCGAGCGUUGUUCGGAUUUAUUGGGCGUAAAGCGUGCGUAGGCGGUUUCAAAAGUCUGGUGUUAAAGCUAGGGGCUCAACCCCUGUGAUGCACUGGAAACUAUGAGACUUGAGUGCGGUAGGGGAAGGUGGAAUUCCGAGUGUAGCGGUGAAAUGCGUAGAUAUUCGGAAGAACACCGGUGGCGAAGGCGACCUUCUGGGCCGCAACUGACGCUGAGGCACGAAGGUCAGGGGAGCAAACGGG